Molecule: ribosomal RNA, 449 nt
Filed under: uncultured bacterium
Lineage: Bacteria
Description: partial 16S ribosomal RNA
Rfam family: Bacterial small subunit ribosomal RNA
Source: RNAcentral
AACGAACGCUGGCGGCACGCCUAACACAUGCAAGUCGAACGAGAUCUUCGGGUCUAGUGGCGCACGGGUGCGUAACGCGUGGGAAUCUGCCCUUUGGUUCGGAAUAACAGUUGGAAACGACUGCUAAUACCGGAUGAUGACGAAAGUCCAAAGAUUUAUCGCCAGAGGAUGAGCCCGCGUAGGAUUAGCUAGUUGGUGUGGUAAAGGCGCACCAAGGCGACGAUCCUUAGCUGGUCUGAGAGGAUGAUCAGCCACACUGGGACUGAGACACGGCCCAGACUCCUACGGGAGGCAGCAGUGGGGAAUAUUGGACAAUGGGCGAAAGCCUGAUCCAGCAAUGCCGCGUGAGUGAUGAAGGCCUUAGGGUUGUAAAGCUCUUUUACCCGGGAUGAUAAUGACUGUACCGGGAGAAUAAGCUCCGGCUAACUCCGUGCCAGCAGCCGCCGUAA